GGCUGAGGGGGCGCAGCGGACAGCCGGUGCCGCUCUCUCGAAAUCAGCGAGCUGCGGUUCCUCCCGAGUUCGGGGGGGUAAGGACAGCCUCGGUGCUCCGACCCGGCGGCUGGGCUGGGUCGCAGCGCCCGUGAGAGAGUGGCCCGGUGGCAGAAGAACACCGGAGAGGGCAGAAAUGGAGAGGCCGUGUCUGUGCUGGGCAGAGCUGGUCAAGGCAGUAGAAGAUGAUGGCUUUUGGAUUCUUCCAUUUUGCAAGAAUAUGGAUUCUGGAGAUAACGAGCACUGUGCACUCCAGAACCUUGCAGGAUCAGUUUCACAGCGUGCAAAUUUCCAUCCCCUAGAAAAGCAUUUCAGAGAUUUCCUAUCCCUCUGGUCAUCCCACUUUGCAACUGCAGAGAUGAGUUUGCCUGAAUGGCUGCAUCUUGCCAGCAUAGCCUGCAUUUAAGAAUACUCCAUGAAGAUCUACAACCUAUUCUUUUAUUGGUUUUGCAUGCAAGUGCUUAAGAAUUUCCAAACCGUACAGAGAUUAAGAGACAGCCUCGGACAAGGUUUUAAAAUAAGGCUCUGUACAGUCGCAGAGAGGAAAGCAUGGAGUCACAGAGCACUGUGGGGACCACACUUCUUGAUGUAACAGCCAAGCUUAGAUGGUGGACAUGCCUUCUGAUUUGGAAGCAAAGAUUUCUUAGCAGUAGCUUUAGAAUGGAUAUAUACAAGCUCGUUCCAAAUACUCUUUUUUUUAGGAGAAAAAUUCUGGUCAAGGAAGAGAGAAAUGCAGCUAUUAACAGAAAUGUUGUAAGCUUUCUCUCUCUGCCAACUGAAAGCCAAUACCCCAUCAAUACACAUUCUUAUUCCAGAGAACCAGAUUAUGGCACAGAUGGAUGUGCCAGCUGAGGAUAAAAACUGCCCUAGUUGCUUCAUCACCACUCACUGACUACAGACCAGCUCUGCCAGCAGAUAGAAAAGCGGGAGUUCUCCUGUCCAGCUCAGCAGGGUUAGCUCAAACUGAUCCUGACCGGCAAGGCUUCAGGCAGAUCACUGCCUCGAGCAAGCCACUACUUCAACAAACUGAGGCAAGGUUUAAAACACAAUUAUUUGAUCCUUUCUUAAAGCUCUUUGAAAGAAUCUAGGCAACAUCUCCAAGUAAUGCUGCAACCCCUGGAACCAGGCUGAAAUCACUACUGAGGCUUGAAAGUGGCUUUGUCUUAUGCCAAACAUUUGACAAUCAUUUACAAAGGCUGUUUACAACCAUUAUAUUUUUGCAUCUUCUGUCUCCUUUUGAACUUCUUUGGAUUAAAAUAAUAGUAAGAGGAAAUUAUUAUUACUCACCUCCUUUUGAAAAUGUAUCUGUGGCCAAGUUUCUGCAUCGAAGUUGUAACCGUGUACAAGCAAGUAAUAAAUGAAAUUGGCUGAAAAACAGUAGGAUCUAGCAUAUAUUUCUUCAAAUUUAGGCAGCAUAAAGUGGAGCUGAAAGCAAAAGGUUUUUUAAAAACACAUAAAUUAUGAAAAUGCUUUUGGUUUUUAUAACUAGAGAAUUAUUUGGAUUCCAAUUAGAAUUUAUUAACAUUUUUCAGAAACAUCAAGUAAAAUUGUGGACAAAUAGACAUGGAGAUUUAGAAAAAGAAAGACCCUGACAGUGAUAUAGCUUAUGUGGUUAAAAAUGAAAAUAAACAUAAAACUGCACAUAAAAGAUUGAGGAUGUUACAGUUCCUAAAUUUUCCACAUCAUCUUUACAGCAUGGUUAAAACUGUGGUAGUAAACCAUGGCCACAAAUCUCUUUUAAGAGCAUCACAGACAGAGUCAGCCUUGCACGUGACAGUCAGCUAUUAAGUGAUGAUGGUAAGUUCCAAUAGGAAAUGCUAGCAACAAAAUGAAUGCAGACAGGGAGCCAGUUCGGUGAUGUGAGGUACUUUCCUGCAAGUUUAUAAUAGGUCUGUCAAUUUACUCUAGCUUCACGCUAUCAGAGCUGAGAUCAGAACAGGGCAUAAGGAAUAUUGCAGGAUUAGAAAAAUACAGUUAAACCUCCAUUAAAUAAAGAUGCCUGCAAGUUACAUAGAACAUGUUAUAUCACAAGACUGCUCUUUGGAUGUCAAUUAUGACCUGGGGUGCUCGUUUAGAUCAUGAAUAUCAGCUGGAAUUCACAGACCCAAGCAAAGUGCUUUUGAUCUUCCAGUCUGAUCUGAAAGUGCUGUUACGAGUCCCAGUGGUUACAAGAUCAGGACCUGAAUAUCACAGCAUACAAAUACAGACAGAUCAAGCAAGCUGUAAAUUAAGAACUGCUGGGUGAAAGCUGUACAGAAAAGGUCAUGGAUUGCCAGUUGGGGACAAUUUGCUUUACUUGCUUUUCUUAGCACAAGUAAUAGCAAAAAAAUAUGAGACUAUACCCAUCCCUCAGAUGAACUCUGAAGACAAUAAUGGGGAAAAAAAAUAAAUCAAUUUGCCUUCCACCAGUACAAAUUCUUCAGGCAGCAG
This is a long non-coding RNA of Grus americana (Whooping crane), 2469 nucleotides long. RefSeq lists it as uncharacterized. The record is from RefSeq and is a predicted model, not a curated record. NCBI's taxonomy places the organism in Eukaryota, Metazoa, Chordata, Aves, Gruiformes, Gruidae. The transcript is spliced from 5 exons.